Molecule: long non-coding RNA, 585 nt
Filed under: Coturnix japonica (Japanese quail)
Lineage: Eukaryota; Metazoa; Chordata; Aves; Galliformes; Phasianidae
Description: lncRNA (ENSCJPG00005018092.1)
Source: RNAcentral
CAAAAUCUCACUUGCUGCCAGCAGUAGCUUUGCUAUGGAUCCUGCUUGGCUCUCUCUGAAACAAAUAUGUUCCUACAGCCAAAGCCACAGAAAUUUGGAUAGAAGUCUUGCAAGGUAGCAAUUUGAGCAAGAGUGUUGUGCCAUCUGUUUGGAGGGUAGCAGUGAAACACCUGUCAUGAAUUCUGCUUGGAACGGUGUUGGGAAUGACGCUGAAUGUGGCAUGGAAAGGAAAUCUUCUCUGGAGGAAAUGCACGUUGGCCACAUAGAAGGCAAGCACUAAGCCCUACGUGCUGGGAUGUGAGUGAGGCAGUGAUACAAAAGAAGCUCAUAUUAGGACACAGCAUUCAUCCUGCCACUAAAAAGAGACAAAGACUGCCACCUUCAGAUGAGAUGGAUCUGCUUUCCAAGCCAAGCUGUCAAAAACCAGGGGUGUUAUUUCCGCAGAAUGCUCUCUUUCACACAGUAAAGCCACUGUUGUCAUCUGGUAAACAGUCAGAGUGCAAAUAAGAAAUCCAUUUGGCUUGUAAAUGCUGAGAUGGUUUUCAACUUUCGAUACUUUGUCCUCAUAAAUCAUCUGGGCUUUCA